AUGAGCAGGAGGCCCAGGGAGAAGGAGCCCUCCUUGCUGGUCUCCGACGUCCGGCGUCGGCAGCACAACUGCCUCCCCCAAGAGGAGGCCCUCCUUGUCGGCCUCUCUCGUGCUGGUGCUAGGGAAGCUCAAUGCUCUCGACAAGGCAAGAAGCCAGGGAAUAGGCGCAGAAUCAAUGGCAAGUCGAGUCGACAGAUUAUUGAAGCUUAUAGCCCUCCAAUGCAGUAUCUGUAUGCUUUACAAAACUAUCCGAGUAUUGCAAAAUUGCAUGAUACAUCAAAUUGGAGCGUAGCCUACAUACUUAUGGAUUGUGGACUUAUGUUGCUUAUUUAG
Molecule: ribosomal RNA, 333 nt
Filed under: Triticum aestivum (bread wheat)
Lineage: Eukaryota; Viridiplantae; Streptophyta; Magnoliopsida; Poales; Poaceae
Description: partial small subunit ribosomal RNA
Source: RNAcentral